This 178-nucleotide small RNA is filed under the name uncultured Prevotella sp. RNAcentral's name for it is "Bacteroidales-1 6S-Bacteroidales RNA suggested". It matches the Rfam family "Bacteroidales-1 6S-Bacteroidales RNA suggested". The record is from RNAcentral. Lineage: Bacteria; Pseudomonadati; Bacteroidota; Bacteroidia; Bacteroidales; Prevotellaceae.
UCGGCUUGAUUGGGAUACUCAUCAAUUAACUACAAAAACCGAGACGUGAAUCUCAUUUCAAUGGCGGGCCACAUAAAUCUCACGUGUGGGACUAAGCUUUAAGCCGGUGGAUUACAAAUGAAUGAGAUCGCUCAAUGAUUUAUUCUCGGAGUUUCAUCACAUCGCCGACUCGUUUUUU